AGAUGGCGACCGGCGCACGGGUGAGUAACACGUAUCCAACCUGCCGAUAACUCGGGGAUAGCCUUUCGAAAGAAAGAUUAAUACCCGAUGGUAUAAUCAGACCGCAUGGUUUGAUUAUUUAAAGAAUUUCGGUUAUCGAUGGGGAUGCGUUCCAUUAGGCAGUUGGUGAGGUAACGGCUCACCAAACCUUCGAUGGAUAGGGGUUCUGAGAGGAAGGUCCCCCACAUUGGAACUGAGACACGGUCCAA
RNAcentral lists this ribosomal RNA (248 nucleotides) under uncultured bacterium. RNAcentral describes it as "partial 16S ribosomal RNA". It matches the Rfam family "Bacterial small subunit ribosomal RNA", at positions 86 to 334 of the family's 1533-position model. The record is from RNAcentral.